This 303-nucleotide small nucleolar RNA is filed under the name Metarhizium album ARSEF 1941. RNAcentral's name for it is "Fungal small nucleolar RNA U3". It matches the Rfam family "Fungal small nucleolar RNA U3". Rfam says of the family: Small nucleolar RNAs (snoRNAs) are involved in the processing and modification of rRNA in the nucleolus. There are two main classes of snoRNAs: the box C/D class, and the box H/ACA class. Lineage: Eukaryota; Fungi; Ascomycota; Sordariomycetes; Hypocreales; Clavicipitaceae. The record is from Rfam by way of RNAcentral.
AUAUUCGCUGCAGGAGAAUCAUUUCUAUAGUAUUCGACCUUCUCUUGGUUCCCUAAAAGAGCCACAGAAUCCACCCUGGUUGAUGACUGUAUAUCCUCGACGCCCUAGGGUGAAAGCUCUGGUUCCUCUCGUCCUGUCCGCAAGGAUGGCGGCGUCUCGCGGCCCACGCGGACGCUGUAUGGAGAGAUUGUUCCCGCACGGCAUGGCAACAUGCCGGGAAGCUUUGUUGGUGAUCUCGUCCCUGUUCGUUGUCUCGCCUUUGGGCGCACGGAUGGGGUGGGUGUCGAUGGACGUCUGACAGGC